This 255-nucleotide ribosomal RNA is filed under the name uncultured bacterium. RNAcentral's name for it is "partial 16S ribosomal RNA". It matches the Rfam family "Bacterial small subunit ribosomal RNA", at positions 524 to 778 of the family's 1533-position model. The record is from RNAcentral.
UACGAAGAGGGCUAGCGUUGCUCGGAAUCACUGGGCGUAAAGGGUGCGUAGGCGGGUCUUAAGUCAGGGGUGAAAUCCUGGAGCUCAACUCCAGAACUGCCUUUGAUACUGAGGAUCUUGAGUUCGGGGAGAGGUGAGUGGAACUGCGAGUGUAGAGGUGAAAUUCGUAGAUAUUCGCAAGAACACCAGUGGCGAAGGCGCUCACUGGCCCGAGUACUGACGCUGAGGCACGAAAGCGUGGGGAGCAAAGCAGGG